UGUAUCUGAAGUCUGACGAGGAUGAGAACCUCCGGGGGCAAGAGGUUCGACUCGAGCGCAGCGAGAGAACGUUGCUUCAGCAACGGCCCGCAGGGCGAGCCACGCAGUGGCGAGUCAUCCUCUAUCACCGACCA
Molecule: small RNA, 134 nt
Filed under: Salmonella enterica
Lineage: Bacteria; Pseudomonadati; Pseudomonadota; Gammaproteobacteria; Enterobacterales; Enterobacteriaceae
Also listed under: 4 other names
Description: RtT sRNA
Rfam family: RtT RNA
About the family: This family represents a bacterial cis-regulatory element known as RtT RNA.
Source: RNAcentral